UACGGAGGGGGCUAGCGUUGUUCGGAAUUACUGGGCGUAAAGCGCACGUAGGCGGCUUUGUAAGUUAGAGGUGAAAGCCCGGGGCUCAACUCCGGAAUUGCCUUUAAGACUGCAUCGCUAGAACGUCGGAGAGGUAAGUGGAAUUCCGAGUGUAGAGGUGAAAUUCGUAGAUAUUCGGAAGAACACCGGUGGCGAAGGCGGUCUGCUGGGCAGUUGCUGACACUGAGGCGCGACAGCGUGGGGAGCAAACAGGG
This 254-nucleotide ribosomal RNA is filed under the name uncultured bacterium. RNAcentral describes it as "partial 16S ribosomal RNA". It matches the Rfam family "Bacterial small subunit ribosomal RNA", at positions 524 to 777 of the family's 1533-position model. The record is from RNAcentral.